Molecule: ribosomal RNA, 662 nt
Filed under: Tenacibaculum sp. AU330_Ted2_MB
Lineage: Bacteria; Pseudomonadati; Bacteroidota; Flavobacteriia; Flavobacteriales; Flavobacteriaceae
Description: bacterial SSU rRNA
Rfam family: Bacterial small subunit ribosomal RNA
Source: RNAcentral
AGUCGAGGGGUAACAGGGAGGAGCUUGCUUUUCUGCUGACGACCGGCGAACGGGUGCGUAACGCGUAUAGAAUCUGCCUUGUACAGGAGGAUAGCCUUUAGAAAUGAAGAUUAAUACUCCAUAAAUUUAAGAGAUGGCAUCAUUUUUUAAUUAAAGAUUUAUCGGUACGAGAUGACUAUGCGUCCUAUUAGCUAGAUGGUAAGGUAACGGCUUACCAUGGCAACGAUAGGUAGGGGGUCUGAGAGGAUUAUCCCCCACACUGGUACUGAGACACGGACCAGACUCCUACGGGAGGCAGCAGUGAGGAAUAUUGGUCAAUGGAGGCAACUCUGAACCAGCCAUGCCGCGUGCAGGAAGACUGCCCUAUGGGUUGUAAACUGCUUUUAUACAGGAAGAAACUUGGUUACGUGUAACCAACUGACGGUACUGUAAGAAUAAGCACCGGCUAACUCCGUGCCAGCAGCCGCGGUAAUACGGAGGGUGCAAGCGUUAUCCGGAAUCAUUGGGUUUAAAGGGUCCGCAGGCGGUCAAUUAAGUCAGAGGUGAAAUCCCAUAGCUUAACUAUGGAACUGCCUUUGAUACUGGUUGACUUGAGUUAUACGGAAGUAGAUAGAAUAAGUAGUGUAGCGGUGAAAUGCAUAGAUAUUACUUAGAAUACCGAU